GAUGAACGCUGGCGGCAGGCCUAACACAUGCAAGUCGAGCGGUAGAGAGAAGCUUGCUUCUCUUGAGAGCGGCGGACGGGUGAGUAAUGCCUAGGAAUCUGCCUGGUAGUGGGGGAUAACGUUCGGAAACGGACGCUAAUACCGCAUACGUCCUACGGGAGAAAGCAGGGGACCUUCGGGCCUUGCGCUAUCAGAUGAGCCUAGGUCGGAUUAGCUAGUUGGUGGGGUAAUGGCUCACCAAGGCGACGAUCCGUAACUGGUCUGAGAGGAUGAUCAGUCACACUGGAACUGAGACACGGUCCAGACUCCUACGGGAGGCAGCAGUGGGGAAUAUUGGACAAUGGGCGAAAGCCUGAUCCAGCCAUGCCGCGUGUGUGAAGAAGGUCUUCGGAUUGUAAAGCACUUUAAGUUGGGAGGAAGGGCAGUUACCUAAUACGUAAUUGUUUUGACGUUACCGACAGAAUAAGCACCGGCUAACUCUGUGCCAGCAGCCGCGGUAAUACAGAGGGUGCAAGCGUUAAUCGGAAUUACUGGGCGUAAAGCGCGCGUAGGUGGUUUGUUAAGUUGGAUGUGAAAUCCCCGGGCUCAACCUGGGAACUGCAUUCAAAACUGACUGACUAGAGUAUGGUAGAGGGUGGUGGAAUUUCCUGUGUAGCGGUGAAAUGCGUAGAUAUAGGAAGGAACACCAGUGGCGAAGGCGACCACCUGGACUAAUACUGACACUGAGGUGCGAAAGCGUGGGGAGCAAACAGGAUUAGAUACCCUGGUAGUCCACGCCGUAAACGAUGUCAACUAGCCGUUGGAAGCCUUGAGCUUUUAGUGGCGCAGCUAACGCA
This 836-nucleotide ribosomal RNA is filed under the name Pseudomonas sp. S2ID1(2011). RNAcentral's name for it is "bacterial SSU rRNA". It matches the Rfam family "Bacterial small subunit ribosomal RNA", at positions 28 to 859 of the family's 1533-position model. Lineage: Bacteria; Pseudomonadati; Pseudomonadota; Gammaproteobacteria; Pseudomonadales; Pseudomonadaceae. The record is from RNAcentral.